This 253-nucleotide ribosomal RNA is filed under the name uncultured bacterium. RNAcentral describes it as "partial 16S ribosomal RNA". It matches the Rfam family "Bacterial small subunit ribosomal RNA", at positions 524 to 776 of the family's 1533-position model. The record is from RNAcentral.
UACGGAGGGCGCAAGCGUUGUUCGGAAUUACUGGGCGUAAAGCGCGUGUAGGCGGUCUAGCAAGUCGGUUGUGAAAUCCCCGGGCUCAACCCGGGAACUGCAUCCGAAACUGCUGGGCUAGAGUUUCGGAGAGGAAGGCAGAAUUCCCAAUGUAGGGGUGAAAUCCGUAGAUAUCGGGAGGAAUACCAGUGGCGAAGGCGGCCUUCUGGACGAUGACUGACGCUGAGACGCGAAAGCGUGGGGAGCAAACAGG